CUUCAUCAAGGUCCUCGGUUAUGGGAUCGGAGAUCUAACAACUGCCGAUGGUUUGUUUUAUCUCUAACAUUCACUUAGUAUUGUCUUUUGAUUAAUGGACCAAGAAUUGAAGUAAAGUUUUAAAAUGUUUAUUUAUUGUGAUAUGUCUACCUACAUUUGAUGCAGUGGAGAGAAUUCUGGAUGCAAAGACAAUGACUGCUGCACCUCCUAUGGCACCUGCUUACGGGCUUUACCUUGACAAUGUGAAAUAUGACCCGAUUGUUUAAAGAGUGAUUUUGAGCUCAAGUUUUGUUAGCUAUUGGAUAUGUAGGUAUGUCUAAUCCAGCUUAUGUAAAUUGGUACCGUUGUACACCUGCAUGAUCCCAACUUCCAAACUAUCCCAAUGAUUGCGAAACAAUAAUGAUACAAGUUACCAAGCUCUGAAUGUUCUGCUUAGAGUUUCAUUGCAACUGUGUGGUCACACACUAAGCUGUGACAUGUAUUGUACGUACAUUUUACCGUCCAAUCUGGCUAAGAAUUAUAUAUGGCCACACAUCAGGUCAAGCAUACAGUAUAUUGCAUGAUUUGAAUUUUCUCUGCAAACAAAUUGGUACACACUAAUUUAGUUAGGCUAGAUCUUCAAUCUGAAAGUUUCCCAUGGUUAGUAUCCAUCAGUUCUUUCUACUUUCUGAUGUACCAUUAUUGUUUUUUCUUGCUUAUUUUUCCAUCUUAAAUGGUUUUGCAGAAACAUACACAAGGGAAGGAGGAAGCAUAAAGUACAGGACAAGGAUCCGAGUGAUGGAGCAGCAAAGUUACUCAUCAAUUAGAUCUUGAUCUCAAUGGUUGACCCUUCUUUUAUUUAUCCAAUAACAAGAUAUGUUUCUAAAUUUCCACUCAAG
This 878-nucleotide long non-coding RNA is filed under the name Hordeum vulgare. RNAcentral describes it as "long non-coding RNA (HVUL_LNC014326)". The record is from RNAcentral. Lineage: Eukaryota; Viridiplantae; Streptophyta; Magnoliopsida; Poales; Poaceae.